Molecule: ribosomal RNA, 495 nt
Filed under: uncultured bacterium
Lineage: Bacteria
Description: partial 16S ribosomal RNA
Rfam family: Bacterial small subunit ribosomal RNA
Source: RNAcentral
UGACCGCUGGCGGCGUGCCUACUACAUGCAAGUCGAGCGAACAGACGAGGAGCUUGCUCCUCUGACGUUAGCGGCGGACGGGUGAGUAACACGUGGAUAACCUACCUAUAAGACUGGGAUAACUUCGGGAAACCGGAGCUAAUACCGGAUAAUAUAUUGAACCGCAUGGUUCAAUAGUGAAAGACGGUUUUGCUGUCACUUAUAGAUGGAUCCGCGCCGCAUUAGCUAGUUGGUAAGGUAACGGCUUACCAAGGCGACGAUGCGUAGCCGACCUGAGAGGGUGAUCGGCCACACUGGAACUGAGACACGGUCCAGACUCCUACGGGAGGCAGCAGUAGGGAAUCUUCCGCAAUGGGCGAAAGCCUGACGGAGCAACGCCGCGUGAGUGAUGAAGGUCUUCGGAUCGUAAAACUCUGUUAUUAGGGAAGAACAAAUGUGUAAGUAACUAUGCACGUCUUGAGGGUACCUAAUCAGAAAGCCACGGCUAACUACAUG